This 68-nucleotide transfer RNA is filed under the name Marmota monax (woodchuck). RNAcentral describes it as "tRNA.Ala". Lineage: Eukaryota; Metazoa; Chordata; Mammalia; Rodentia; Sciuridae. The record is from RNAcentral.
GGAUAUAGCUCAGUUGGUAGAGUGCUUGCCUGGCAUGCAUACAGCCCUGGGUUCAGUCCCCAACACCA